AUGGAGCAGUUGGGAGCCUCCACAAUGCUGGUGCUAUUGCUCACCUUCAUCUACCUCGUCCUCCGGCUCAGGCGCAAGGACAGCAAGCCGCAUACGCUCCCGCUCCCGCCAGGCCCAGCGCCGUGGCCGGUGGUGGGCAGCCUCCCGGAGAUGAUGCUCAACAAGCCCGCGUUCCGGUGGAUCCACCGCACGAUGGAGGAGAUGGGCACCGACAUCGUCUGCGUCCGCCUUGGCGGCGUGCACGUCGUCGCCGUCACCUGCCCCACCAUCGCCCGCGAGGUGCUCAGGAAGCAGGACGCCACCUUCGCCUCCCGCCCGCUCACCUUCGCCUCCGCCGCCUUCAGCCGCGGGUACAAGAACGCCGUGCUGUCGCCGUUUGGGGACCAGUGGAGGAAGAUGCGCCGCGUGCUCACCUCCGAGAUCAUCUGCCCCUCCCGCCACCGAUGGCUCCACGACCGCCGCGCCGACGAGGCCGACAACCUCACCAACUACGUCUACAACCUCGCCACCGCCGCGAAGGGGUCAUCGUUGGGCAGUGGCGCCGUGGACGUGCGGCACGUCACGAGGCACUACUGCGGCAACGUCAUCCGCCGGCUCCUAUUCGGCAGGCGAUACUUCGGUGAGCCCGGACGCCGCGAUGGCGGGCCGGGGCCCAUGGAGGUGGAGCACAUGGACGCCUUGUUCACAUCUCUCGGGCUGCUCUACGCGUUCUGCGUCUCCGACUACCUUCCCUGGCUGCGGGGCUUCGACCUCGACGGCCAUGAGAAGAUUGUCAAGGAGGCCAACGCAACUAUGAGCCGGCUGCACGAAGCCGUCAUCGAGGAGCGGUGGGGGCAGUGGAAGUACGGCGAGAGAAAGGAGCUUGAUGACUUCCUCGAAGUGCUCAUCACGCUCAAAGACGCCGAGGGGAAGCCGCUGCUCACCAUCGAGGAGAUCAAAGCACAGUCUCAGGACAUAACCUUUGCCGCCGUUGACAACCCAUCGAACGCCGUGGAGUGGGCCCUGGCAGAGAUGGCGAACGCACCGGAGGUGAUGGCGAAGGCGAUGGAAGAGAUGGACCGUGUGCAUUUCGGCUGCACCCUGUUGCACCUUUCAACGCAUGUUGCGCUCGCCGACACCAACGUUGCCGGUUACCAUAUACCCAAGGGAAGCCAUGUCAUCCUCAGCCGCACUGGACUCGGCAAGAACCCGACCAUCUGGGAUGAGCCGCUAUGCUUCAUGCCAGAGCGCCACAUUAAUACGACCACUGAUGAUGUGGCACUCACAGAGAACGAGCUGAGGUGCGGCCGUCGUGGGUGCGUCGCGGCAUCACUUGGGACGGCAAUGUGCAUGAUGCUCUUCGGCAGGCUUCUGCAAGGGUUCACUUGGAGCAAGCCAAUAGGAUUGGCAGCUAUAGAUCUCAGCGAGUCAGAGCAUGACGUGUUCCUGGCCAAGCCAUUGAUGAUGUGUGCUAAGCCACGUUUGCCGGUGCACCUCUACCACGCCGGCGCCAUCUAA
RNAcentral lists this ribosomal RNA (1497 nucleotides) under Triticum aestivum (bread wheat). RNAcentral describes it as "partial small subunit ribosomal RNA". Lineage: Eukaryota; Viridiplantae; Streptophyta; Magnoliopsida; Poales; Poaceae. The record is from RNAcentral.